CGGUGACAAACCGGAGGAAGGUGGGGAUGACGUCAAGUCAUCAUGGCCCUUACGAGUAGGGCUACACACGUGCUACAAUGGCCGGUACAGAGGGCUGCAAACUCGCGAGAGCAAGCUAAUCUCACAAAACCGGUCGUAGUCCGGAUCGCAGUCUGCAACUCGACUGCGUGAAGUCGGAAUCGCUAGUAAUCGUGAAUCAGAAUGUCACGGUGAAUACGUUCCCGGGCCUU
Molecule: ribosomal RNA, 230 nt
Filed under: uncultured Marinobacterium sp.
Lineage: Bacteria; Pseudomonadati; Pseudomonadota; Gammaproteobacteria; Oceanospirillales; Oceanospirillaceae
Description: partial 16S ribosomal RNA
Rfam family: Bacterial small subunit ribosomal RNA
Source: RNAcentral